Molecule: long non-coding RNA, 855 nt
Organism: Gallus gallus (chicken)
Lineage: Eukaryota; Metazoa; Chordata; Aves; Galliformes; Phasianidae
Source: Ensembl
CCACCUUUGUACACUGCCAUGCAGCUUAAAGGCAGCUGCAGAGGAGACUGCCUGAAAGUAAGCUGAAAAAAAUGUCAGCUAAGGUCAGGAGGAAAUAAGCUGCUCUGCAGUGGGGAUAAAGCCAGGCUCUGUACAUGUGGCAUGGCUGUUUGCUUCCAGCGUAAUUAACUUCCUCAGAAGAAAAGCAAGUUUUGAAGAGUGUUCUAGGAGCAGCAGACAAAAAGAAGAGAUUAUGUUGAAGGCUACGCCGAAUUCUUUUAGGAUGUAUUAGCAGAAAGGUUUCACCUAAAGCACAGCACACUGUAACCAUUCACACCUAGAAUGAACCUCACCACUCACGGAGAAAUCAUAGCAAAUAGCAGAUCUGACAUGGGAAUAUGGAGACAGGAAGACAGCUAAUCUAUUAAGCACCAUUUCCCACCUAUUUCUGACAUGCACACUGGAGUUUGCUCAUUGUCAUUGUCAGACAACCUAAACUGUUCAUGCUGUGACCCAGAAAUGUCAGUAAGGGAUUGCUGAGAGGAACCAGCAUGAAGAAGAUACUCCUGACACAGACUUCCUACUCGCCAGACAAACAAGACAGACUGCAGGUCAGAGCAGAGAGCUAAGGAAGCACUAAAUAGGAUGGGGCAACAGGGAAACAGCAGUGUGAGCCACCAAUGUGCCCUGGUGGCCAAGAAGGCUAGUAGUACCCUGGUGUACAUUAAAAAGAAUGUGGUCAGUAGGUCAAGAGAGGCAAUCCUCCCCCUCUACUCUGCCCUAGUGAGUCCACAUCCAGAAUAGUGUGUCUGAUUCUGGGUUCCCUGGUGCAAAAGACAGGGAUUUCCUAGAAGGAGUCCAGUGCAGAGUGACGGG